This is a long non-coding RNA of Acinonyx jubatus (cheetah), 1917 nucleotides long. RefSeq lists it as uncharacterized. The transcript has 3 exons. The record is from RefSeq and is a predicted model, not a curated record. NCBI's taxonomy places the organism in Eukaryota, Metazoa, Chordata, Mammalia, Carnivora, Felidae.
UCUGACGUCUCCAAACUGGGGCAUCGCGUCGCAUUUUACGUGACGACGAGAGGUAAAGGGGCAGAGAAGGUCCGUUGUUCCAGGACAGAGGCCACGUCUCCCAGACCUGGUUGUCUGCUUGGCACAAGCCCGGGGGCGGGGACGGCCUUCCACCCGCCCUCCUCUGCCCGUGACUUCUGGCCUGACCCCAACUGAAGGGGCCGGACAGCUGCUGGCCAGCCUCUUCCCCUGCCCACGUGAUUUGCCCACUUCCCGAGCUGGACCCGGAACCUCAGAGCCCUCGGGGAAGACCAUGGUCAUGAUACACAGAAGGAGAUGCUGGGAGUAAAGGACUCAGGGCCCAGAUAUCCUAGACGCCUCUAACGUCAAGAGGAGGCCAAAGAUUCGCCCGCCCUGAAUGAUGACUUCUGACUCUCCAUCCGUCACAGAACAGAGCAAGUGGGGAGAUCCGUGUGUGCUCCCCCGGCGGUGAGCGGCGGCCGAGGACCCGAUUUGUCUCCCCUGCUUUCCUCCCGUGUAACGCAUGUUCACAAACAACAUAUUUGCCUGAGUUAUUUAUGCAAAGCAGCAUUAGUACAUAGUUUUGGCCUCUUGUUUUCUCUUUGAAAAAUAAUUUGCGGAAAUCCCGUCAAAUUACUUCGCACAGCUAUUUAUUUUUAAAGGCUUCCUACGGUUGGUGGUACGGAUGUGACACAUUGUUUCCAGCUUCUCUGAAAUUGAUGUGGAGUCACUUCACUUCCAAUUCUUGGUCAAGACAACUCUAAUGAGAAGCUUUGUACAUUAUUAGUUCAUCCGAUAUACACUUAUGGUCGGAUAUGUCCUUACAUGGUGGUCCUUUUAUUUCUAUUGGCAUUUUGAGGGGGCUCCCAAUAAAUAGUGCAUUUCUCCCCUGACUAGAUUCUAAACACACCAAAAUAACAAGUAAGAAAAUAAUUUUGGAGGCAAACGGCACCUUUAUCACUGGUAGCAGCCAAAUGGGAGGAUUCGGCAUUAGGUGUAUUUGUCAAGGGGGCUUCCGGGAAGACCACCGAUCGGGCGGCUUCCCCGCCCCACUGAGGGUGCGCGUGGGCCUCACGGAGUCGGGGCAGCCCGGUUGGGGCCCACGAGGAGAAGGGAAGAGCUGAGCCCAGUUCGGCUGCUUCAUCGUUGCUGGCAAACACCCCUGGGAGUCCGGGAGAAGGCGGAGCGUGUGCUCAGGACACGUCCCUCCACAGGGACCCCAGGAGCGUGAAACACACUCCCUCUCCCGCUUCCCCGGCGGGUUCCCCGGGGGCAGCACUGCCGGGUGCAGAGGGCAUCUGUCACAGUGAGGACCGUGGCCUCUUCCGGCUUGGGUUGUGAGGCACGUAACGUAGGAGCCCUUGUCGUUUCCAUCCGACGCCUUCUGGAAAGCUGGUGUCCUGGGCGCUGUGUCCUUCCCGGGGCGGAUGCUCCCCGGCGGCCUUCUUUCUCCCCGGCUGGUCCUUUUCUGCCUCCCCGCUGGGACCCCUAACCCUCACUGUGGGUUUCUCCUCUGCCCAGCCGUGGACACUGCUGCCCCUGAGCCCCGUCCUCUCCCGGCAAGCUUGUCCUCCGGUGGCUCCGGCCCGAUCUCCCUGCCGGACUCCCCGCCAGCUACCUGGCAUCCACGUGGGCUCCAGCAGGCGUGCCACAGGCCACGUGCCCAGGACGGAACUUUUCUCCCCCUCCAGCUGCCUGUUCUCCAUCUCCGCAAACGGCACCCCGUCCAUCCGCUUCCAGAGCCAGAACGCCGUGUUUUCCGAGACACCUGCCUGCACCGCCCCCUCCCCCCCUUCCAGAACACCCGCCAGUCUAAGCCGCUGUCCCGUAACCCCCCACGACCGUCCUCCAAACUGCUGGCUCCUUGACCUCCUUCUGCUGUCCCAGUCACUUAGCCUGACCUUUCAAUAAAUACUU